RNAcentral lists this transfer RNA (67 nucleotides) under Dendrolimus kikuchii. RNAcentral describes it as "tRNA-Ala". It matches the Rfam family "tRNA". Rfam says of the family: Transfer RNA (tRNA) molecules are approximately 80 nucleotides in length. Their secondary structure includes four short double-helical elements and three loops (D, anti-codon, and T loops). Further hydrogen bonds mediate the characteristic L-shaped molecular structure. tRNAs have two regions of fundamental functional importance: the anti-codon, which is responsible for specific mRNA codon recognition, and the 3' end, to which the tRNAs corresponding amino acid is attached (by aminoacyl-tRNA synthetases). tRNAs cope with the degeneracy of the genetic code in two manners: having more than one tRNA (with a specific anti-codon) for a particular amino acid; and 'wobble' base-pairing, i.e. permitting non-standard base-pairing at the 3rd anti-codon position. The record is from RNAcentral. Lineage: Eukaryota; Metazoa; Arthropoda; Insecta; Lepidoptera; Lasiocampidae.
AGGAUUAUAAUUUAAAAUUAAAAUAUUUGAUUUGCAAUCAAAAAAUAUUGAAAAUCAAUUUAUCUUA